RNAcentral lists this ribosomal RNA (496 nucleotides) under uncultured bacterium. Its description in RNAcentral is "partial 16S ribosomal RNA". It matches the Rfam family "Bacterial small subunit ribosomal RNA", at positions 28 to 506 of the family's 1533-position model. The record is from RNAcentral.
GAUGAACGCUGGCGGCGUGCCUAAUACAUGCAAGUCGAGCGAACAGACGAGGAGCUUGCUCCUCUGACGUUAGCGGCGGACGGGUGAGUAACACGUGGAUAACCUACCUAUAAGACUGGGAUAACUUCGGGAAACCGGAGCUAAUACCGGAUAAUAUAUUGAACCGCAUGGUUCAAUAGUGAAAGACGGUUUUGCCGUCACUUAUAGAUGGAUCCGCGCCGCAUUAGCUAGUUGGUAAGGUAACGGCUUACCAAGGCGACGAUGCGUAGCCGACCUGAGAGGGUGAUCGGCCACACUGGAACUGAGACACGGUCCAGACUCCUACGGGAGGCAGCAGUAGGGAAUCUUCCGCAAUGGGCGAAAGCCUGACGGAGCAACGCCGCGUGAGUGAUGAAGGUCUUCGGAUCGUAAAACUCUGUUAUUAGGGAAGAACAAAUGUGUAAGUAACUAUGCACGUCUUGACGGUACCUAAUCAGAAAGCCACGGCUAACUACGU